UAAUUGUAUACCAUGCAGUCUUUAUAUAUCAUCUUUGGAUUAGUUUUGGCAACAUUGAAAGGAAGAGAAGCAAAUGGGGCAUCUCUAUGCAUUGGAUUUUGAUGGAGUUCUCUGUGAUACCUGUGGAGAGACAGCUAUCUCUGCUCUCAAGGCUGCUAAGUUGAGAUGGCCAGCCUUGUUUGACAGUGUAGAUUCCGCCACAGAAGAUUGGAUUGUUGAACAAAUGAUUGCAGUGAGACCAGUGGUGGAAACUGGAUAUGAAACACUUUUACUUGUGAGAUUGUUGCUUGAGACAAGAGUUCCUUCCAUCAGAAAAUCUUCGGUGGCAGAGGGGCUCACAGUUGAGGGCAUAUUGGAGAACUGGUUCCAAUUGAAGCCUAUUGUCAUGGAAGAGUGGAAAGAGAAUAGGGAUGAUCUGAUAGAACUGUUUGGAAAGGUCAGAGAUGAUUGGUUGGAGAAGGAUUUCACUGGUUGGAUUCAAGCCAACAGAUUAUAUCCUGGUGUUACUGAUGCAUUAAGAUUUGCAAGUUCAAGAGUGUACAUUGUCACCACAAAACAGGGCCGCUUUGCCGAUGCUUUACUUAAAGAACUUGCAGGAAUAACUAUACCACCAGAAAGGCUAUAUGGUCUGGGAACAGGUCCUAAGGUAGAAGUGCUGAAGAAGCUUCAAAAAAUGCCAGAACAUCAAGGGCUGACACUACAGUUAAGAUUUCUGUGCACCCCAGAGCUUUGUGGAAGAUAGGCUUGCAACCCUUAAAAAUGUCAUCAAAGAGCCAGAGUUAGAUAAUUGGAACUUGUAUCUAGUGAAUUGGGGGUUCAACACUCAAAAAGAGAGGGAUGAAGCAGCAGCCAACCCCAGGAUUCAGCUUCUUGAGCUCUCUGAUUUCAGUAACAAGCUGAAAUAAUGGCUUCUUCCAUCUUAUUCAUAUGUAAACAAUGAUGAAAUCCUUGUGAAUUUCUAUUAUUACAAUUUACAACUGCAGCUAUCAUAAAUUCAAAAGAUCUUUUCAUUACAAA
RNA transcript from Trifolium pratense (red clover), 1017 nucleotides. RefSeq lists it as uncharacterized. The transcript has 9 exons. Lineage: Eukaryota; Viridiplantae; Streptophyta; Magnoliopsida; Fabales; Fabaceae. The record is from RefSeq and is a predicted model, not a curated record.